GAGAAGAUGCUGGCUAAUCAAAGUUUAGUUCAUCGUUUUCUCUGGGACUUUGGUACGCAACUCAGUUAAACAUCCAGCCACAGGCAGAGAAGUCCAUUUUCCAUCUAUAUUCAAGUACCUUGAAUCACCAUGAGACUUACAAGAAAAUAGUCCUCAAGCAAAACUGCAUAACAAGCCACUUCACUUGUUGGGGCAACAAUAGUCACUUAAUAAAGAAAAAAAAUAAUGUGCAAAAACAUGCUUCUAUAAAGGAUCCAAAUCAGGUAAAAUUAUAAAUGUUUUUUUUUUUACUUUCUAUAAUUUAUUUAUUUUUAAUAAUUUACAUCCAAGUUAGUUUGCACAUGAUGCAACAAUGAUUUCAGGAGUAGAUUCCUUACUGCCUCUUACCUAUUUAUCUAUCCCCCCUCCUA
This 410-nucleotide long non-coding RNA is filed under the name Felis catus (domestic cat). Its description in RNAcentral is "lncRNA (ENSFCAG00000040378.2)". The record is from RNAcentral. Lineage: Eukaryota; Metazoa; Chordata; Mammalia; Carnivora; Felidae.